CACGUAGGGCGCAAGCGUUGUCCGGAAUUAUUGGGCGUAAAGAGCUCGUAGGCGGUCUGUUGCGUCCGCUGUGAAAACCCAGGGCUUAACCCUGGGCUGGCAGUGGAUACGGACAGACUAGAGGUAGGUAGGGGAGAAUGGAAUUCCCGGUGUAGCGGUGAAAUGCGCAGAUAUCGGGAGGAACACCCGUAGCGAAGGCGGCACUCUGGGCCGAUUCUGACACUGAGGAGCGAAAGCGUGGGGAGCGAACAGG
This 253-nucleotide ribosomal RNA is filed under the name uncultured bacterium. RNAcentral describes it as "partial 16S ribosomal RNA". It matches the Rfam family "Bacterial small subunit ribosomal RNA", at positions 524 to 776 of the family's 1533-position model. The record is from RNAcentral.